RNAcentral lists this ribosomal RNA (451 nucleotides) under uncultured Flectobacillus sp. RNAcentral's name for it is "bacterial SSU rRNA". It matches the Rfam family "Bacterial small subunit ribosomal RNA", at positions 342 to 791 of the family's 1533-position model. The record is from RNAcentral. Lineage: Bacteria; Pseudomonadati; Bacteroidota; Cytophagia; Cytophagales; Flectobacillaceae.
CGGGUUGCAGCAGUAGGGAAUAUUGGGCAAUGGAGGCAACUCUGACCCAGCCAUGCCGCGUGCAGGAUGAAGGCGUUAUGCGUUGUAAACUGCUUUUAUAUAGGAAGAAAGAGUUCUUGCGAGAACAGUUGACGGUACUAUAUGAAUAAGCACCGGCUAACUCCGUGCCAGCAGCCGCGGUAAUACGGAGGGUGCAAGCGUUGUCCGGAUUUAUUGGGUUUAAAGGGUGCGUAGGCGGUUUAUUAAGUCAGUGGUGAAAGACGGUCGCUCAACGAUUGCAGUGCCAUUGAUACUGGUAGACUUGAGUGAGAUUGAGGUAGCUGGAAUGGAUAGUGUAGCGGUGAAAUGCAUAGAUAUUAUCCAGAACACCAAUUGCGUAGGCAAGUUACUAAGUCUCAACUGACGCUGAGGCACGAAAGUGUGGGUAUCAAACAGGAUUAGAUACCCCCGU